AGAACCACAUCAUACUAAAAUAAGAGAUCAUCAUAUUUACAGCUGGAUCCGAAUAUAAAAGAAAGCUAUAAAAAAAAGAAGGGACACGGAAGUUGGAAAUCAAAUGAGAGAAACACGACACGCACGCGAGGAAAAGUGCCGGAAUGAAGAGUGCCCAUCGUGACUAUAGACGCGUGAACUGGACUCGGAAAUAAGGACUGAUGAACCAACGAGAUUACAACGUACAAUACAAAUGACGGACUCCAUCAUGUACAGCACGAAAUAGUUCAUUUUCAGGAAGCAGAAUAGCCUUUUGUUACACGACGUUCAGUGUCUCUUUCACUCCAUACAUUGACUGUGUCUUUCGGUCUGUAAGAUACAGCGUACAUGAAUAUGUUCAAAACAAAGCGCAAAAUCGAUAAGAGCGUUCCUAUGACAAAUUCAUGAUGAGGUUCAUCGAGGACGAAGGGUAAAAUAUUAACGGGCACAUGAUAUCAUGCGGCCGGUAGUUCAG
Long non-coding RNA from Daphnia carinata, 493 nucleotides. RefSeq lists it as uncharacterized. NCBI's taxonomy places the organism in Eukaryota, Metazoa, Arthropoda, Branchiopoda, Diplostraca, Daphniidae. The record is from RefSeq and is a predicted model, not a curated record. The transcript has 3 exons.